This 25-nucleotide non-coding RNA is filed under the name Cricetulus griseus (Chinese hamster). The record is from RNAcentral. Lineage: Eukaryota; Metazoa; Chordata; Mammalia; Rodentia; Cricetidae.
CCAUGUGACGAACGGAUAGACAUGA